Molecule: long non-coding RNA, 366 nt
Organism: Caretta caretta (loggerhead turtle)
Lineage: Eukaryota; Metazoa; Chordata; Testudines; Cheloniidae
Source: RefSeq, a predicted model, not a curated record
GCGCUUGGGUUGACCUGAAGAUGUGAUGAACUUGUGAGGACAAAUGAAAACCCUUGGCUGGGGUUAGGAAGAACUGCUUCUGCCAGAACCCAUGUUAUGGCUGAGAUGAUCUCUGCAGAGAAAGCAUGCCGCUAUGCUAAAGCAGCAGUGAAGGCAGGGAAGUGUGCAGCCUGGAAAUAACCUGAUCAGAAGGAAGAGAGAUGCGGGUCCCUACCCAAGAAAGGAAUCAGCUGGGGAGCCGAAAGCCUGAGAGUGGGUGUAGUUGUUGGACCACUGAAGGGAAAUAGAGGUGCAGUGGCCUUAAACUGUGACUACUACCAUUAUGUUUUCACACAUUCUUAAGUACAUAAAAUCCUAAGACCCUGA